Molecule: ribosomal RNA, 51 nt
Filed under: Alexandrium tamiyavanichii
Lineage: Eukaryota; Dinophyceae; Gonyaulacales; Pyrocystaceae
Description: partial large subunit ribosomal RNA
Source: RNAcentral
GUUGCAUGAAGUGAAGCACAUACACCUGCUGAAUUUAAGCAUAUAAGUAAA